Molecule: long non-coding RNA, 1355 nt
Filed under: Setaria viridis
Lineage: Eukaryota; Viridiplantae; Streptophyta; Magnoliopsida; Poales; Poaceae
Description: long non-coding RNA (SVIR_LNC006991)
Source: RNAcentral
UGGAACAGAGGAGUCUGUGUCCCCAGAAAGUCCUCGUAGCGAGCAACAUGGGGUUGUUGAUGAGCUCUUCCUCCCUAGGGCUGCUGUUGUUGCCCCUGGGCGAUGUGCCUCAGCAGCUCAGUUUGAGCGGCCAAGAUCGCCUCUAGCAUGGGCGGAUGCGGAGGCGGUGGAGGCACCUGCCUCUGCUCACUGCCACUGGGAAUAGAGCCGGAGCGGGUGCGGUGCGCCAUCUGCAAGAGUCAUCUUUCCAUUAGUCACAUAAUCCCCAAAAGCUUUCCAAUCAUAAGGGAAAUUAUGUGAUGAAUCUUUAAAUGCUAAUCUUUCUGAUAGUGCAAACACAACAAUCACAUCUUUUAUUGAGUAGGUGCAUAUCUCUCCCCCUCGGCCAUUUCAGUCAGCAAUUCGAUGGCUCCUAGCGCACCAACUGUCGGUGUCACAAUCACGGCCCAGAUUGUGGCAAGUAUUUGUUUUCUAUGCGUAAGGCUCGGAUGGUAGCCAUCGGGGCCGUCCGAUCCGUAGUGUCCGGGGUCAGGCGAGGCGAAGCUCUGUCUCGUAGGUCCGAAUAUGUCCGACCCGUAACGCCCGGGGUCGGGUGAGGCGGAGACCCACCGCAAGGGUCAGGCACGUCUGACCUGGCUGCGAGGGGUCGGGCGCGUCCGACCAAGUGACCCGGGGUCGCCCAAGUCAGCGGAGGUCACCGUUUCUGUUUUGGGGCUGAUUUUUGGCAAGCUGAGCUGCGGUGUUUUGGUUCUAACGCGAGUUUGAUAGAUCCAAAGGAUCUGAAAUUUAACGAGCAGUUAGAACAAAUAUUUCCGCACAACUUUGGUAUUCAAUUCUUGGAUCAAAAAAGAGUGGAGACAGGGUAAAGCUGAGGACAAACAGCCACAGAAUUUCUGCCAUAAACUUUCGAACAUUACCCUAAUUGGUAGCAACGGCAGAUCUACACAUGGAAUCAGUUCUUCAACACCCGACUACUCAACUCAGGCUAACCUAUUACAUCACUGGCCAAAACUAUAGGUUGCUGAGGAGUACAACAAAAGAAACUGCUCUUCAACAAGUCGAUUCAUCUAAAAGUCGUCUAGGUUGCCUACAGAGGUAAUGCUGAGUGCAGGAGACUGUGCAUUGCCAAAUCGAGGCUGCAGAGCGGCCUCCUCAAAAUCCAUGCUCGAAAAGCCCUCGAUCUCCUCGGGCUCCUCCUCCUGAACCAUAGGCUCAUCCAACUGUACCUCCAAGCGUGGAUAGCCUCGAGCUCAGCGUGGUGCUCCUGUAGGUGCUCAUUAGCGUUCGCCAGCUCCAUGUUCACAUCUAGAACUGGUCGGCUAGCAUCUCCAUGUCGUGCUCCAUCUCUACUUUCU